UAAAGGAUUAGAAGUUGCAGGACAAAUU
Molecule: non-coding RNA, 28 nt
Filed under: Mus musculus (house mouse)
Lineage: Eukaryota; Metazoa; Chordata; Mammalia; Rodentia; Muridae
Source: RNAcentral